UGGAAUAUAUGCGGAUAUUGAGCUGCACAUAAAAUAGAUGAGACACAGCUUUUAACGAGGUUCGGCUAUGCCUACGUCCUCGGAGAGCAGCAGCAGUAACCUUUCACUAUAAAAUGAUAUGGCUACAACUUUAGUGUUUACAACAUAUGUGGCUCACUGAAUUUUCUCUCUAGGAGAAUUUCUCUCUGCUUUCUCUUCUCUCUUUUCUUUUUCUUAUUUUCUUAUUUUUUCUUUCUCUGAUGGUGGUCUUAUUUAUAGGCUGAAAUAAUCACUAUUCACUAUUCACCCGUGACAGACAAACUCUACCAAAGUCUCUAAAUGAAUAGUAAUGUCACUAUUCACCCGUGACAGACAAACUCUACCAAAGUCUCCAAAUGAAUAGUAAUGAAUAGUUAGUGGGCUGCACACCAAGACUUUUACAACACUCCCCCUUGGAGACCACAUGUCCCUAGAUUGGUUGACUCAUUAAAACCUGGCUUGGAAAAACCCAGUGGGAAAAUCUAAGCGAAGGAAAAAGAGUACAACGUGCAUAUGUCCUAUGUUAGAGGACUCUUGAAUGCUCCCCCUGAUUUUGCAUGCUCCAACUUGAUUGCUUGCAGAGUUGUCGUAAUCCGAUGCCAUGCACUAACUUUUGGAAUGUACAUUUCGGCAAUGAUUUAGUGAAGAGAUCUGCCAGGUUAUCACUUGAGCGGAUUUGUCUGACUUUGAUUUCUUGACUCUUCUGGAGCUCAUGUGUAUAGAAAAACUUUGGUGAUAUGUGUUUGGUCCUGUCACCCUUGAUAUAUCCUCCUGUGAUCUGAGCAAUACAAGCUGCAUUGUCCUCAUUCAGAAUUGUUAGAGUGUCUGUUGUUGAGGGUAGGGCACAUGUGCUUCGGAUGUGAUGGAUUACCGACCUUAACCAAACGCAUUCACGACUGGCUUCAUGGAGGGCAAGUAUUUCUGAGUGAUUGGAAGAUGUGGCCACUAAUGUUUGUUUUGUUGAGCGCCAUGAGAUCGCAAUUCCUCCACAUGUAAAUACAUACCCAGUCUGUGAUCGUCCUUGAUGUGGAUCAGAGAGAUAUCCUGCAUCAGCAUAACCAAUAAUACUCUGGGCGUUGGUCGAUUCACUGGAAUAGAAUAACCCCAUGUCUGUUGUCCCACGAAGGUAUCGUAGAACAUGUUUGAUGCCGGUCCAGUGUCGCCUUGUUGGAGCAGAACUGUACCUUGCUAACAGAUUUACUGAGAAUGAUAUGUCUGGUCUGGUACAUUGUGCUAGGUACAAUAAAGCACCUAUUGCACUAAGAUAUGGUACUUCUGGACCAAGGACCAUUUCAUCAUUCCCUUUUGGACGAUAUGGGUCUUUCUUAGUGUCAAGCGAUCGAACGACCAUUGGAGUGCUAAGUGGAUGGGCUUUAUCCAUGCCAAACCGUUUCAAUACUUUCUCAGUAUAAGUUGAUUGAUGCACCAAAAUUCCAUUAGCACUGUGUUCAAUCUGCAAGCCAAGACAAUAUUUUGUCUUUCCAAGGUCCUUCAUCUCAAACUCACGUUUGAGAUAAUCAACAGUCUUUUGAAGCUCUGCAGAAGUUCCAAUUAGAUUCAUGUCGUUGACAUAUACUGCCACUAUCGCAAAUCCAGACUUUGAUUUCUUAAUAAACACACAUGGGCAAACAGGAUCAUUUGUGUAUCCUUCCUUCAGUAAAUACUCACUGAGACGAUUGUACCACAUUCGUCCAGAUUGUUUUAGCCCAUAUAAUGAUCUUCUCAAUUUAACUGAGAACAUGCCCCGUGGUUUGUUUCUGGCUGCUUCAGGCAACCUGAAUCCUUCUGGAACUUUCAUGUAUAUAUCUGUAUCCAAUUCUCCAUACAAAUAUGCGGUAAUGACAUCCAUGAGUCUCAUUUCAAGUUUUUCUGAAACCGCCAAACUUAUUAGGUAACGGAAUGUAAUUGUGUCCAUUACUGGAGAGUAUGUUUCCACAUAAUCAAUUCCAGGCCUUUGUGAAAAACCUUGCGCAACGAGUCGCGCUUUAUACCUUGAGAUCUCAUUUUUCUCAUUGCGCUUUCUUGUAAAUACCCACUUGUAACCUACAGGGUUCACAUUGGGUGGAGUUGGACUAAUAUGUCCAAAAACACUCCUCUUUUCCAAAGAAUUUAAUUCUGCCUGGAUUGCAUCCUUCCACUUGGGCCAAUCUUGCCUCUGUGUACUCAUUAAUAGAGCGCGGUUCAAUAUCAUCAUCUUUUAUGAUUUCAGCAGCCACUGAGAAUGCAAAUAUAUCAUCGAUGAUCAUCUCAUUUCUACUCCACAAUUCAUUAGUGGACGUAUAAUUUAUGGAGAUUUCUUGACUUUCAGGUACGGUUGCCACUCCAGGGGCACUUGUCUCACCAAUGACGUUUUCCUUAUCAAGAAGUACCUGUCCCUCUUUGGGGGCAUUUGAAUUAUGAAUUGUGGGCUCUCUAUUUAUUUCAUUUGGAUUCAUUUUGUCCAUCAACUUCCUCUUUCGAGGAACUGAAUCCUUUGAGCCUAGUGGUCUGCCACGUUUUAGGCGUGCAGCAGAUGAACCAUUUGCUGGCACAGUGCUUUGUCCAUUAUGGACAUCAAUCCGUGCGGGUGCAUUUGCAGCUGGGAUAUGAGAUUUCGUCACCUUUGCUGCAUCAUUAAAUGCAUCUGGCAUCUGAUUUGCAAUACUUUGGAGGUGAACGAUCCUUCUCACUUCGUUUUCGCAUUGAGCAGUAUGAGGAUCGAGAUGAGACAAUAUGGAUACAUUCCAGGAUAAUUCAUGUCGUUUUUCAGGAAUGAGUUUGCCUUGUUCUUUAGACACAGAUUUUUCUCCCCCUAAUGGUGGGAAGAUUGUCUCAUCAAAAUCACAAUCCGCAAAUCGUGCGGUAAAAAUAUCACCCGUCAGGGGUUCCAAGUAUCUGAUGAUAGAUGGUGAAUAAACACCAACAUAAAUUCCCAAUCUGCGUUGAGGGCCCAUCUUAGUACGUUGCGAUAGUGCAAUAGGCACAUAUACCGCACACCCAAAAAUUCUUAAAUGUGAAAUGUUUGGUUGAUUUCCCAAUACGAGUUGUAUUGGAGAAACUUGAUUAUUGGCGACGGGCCUCAAUCGCACAAGCGAUGCUGCAUGUAAAAUGGCAUAUCCCCAAGCAGAAACUGGCAACUUUGUUUUCAUUAGCAAAGUGCGUGUUAUCAAUUGAAGGCGUUUAAUUAAAGCUUCUGCCAAGCCAUUUUGAGUAUGCACAUGGGGAACAGGAUGUUCAAUAUCAAUGCCUAGUGACAUGCAGUAGUCAUCAAAAGUCUGAGAUGUAAAUUCACCAGCAUUAUCGAGUCUGAUUGACUUAAUGGGAUAAUCUGGGAAUUGAGCUCGUAAUUUAAUUAUCUAAGCCAAAAGCCUAGUAAAUGUCAUAUUCCGAGUAGAUAAAAGACAAACAUGUGACCAUCGGGUAGAUGCGUCCACCAAGACCAUAAAGUACCGAAAUGGUCCACAUGGGGGAUGAAUGGGUCCACAAAUGUCCCCUUGAAUUCUCUGCAAAAAUGAUGGAGACUCAACAUCAACCUUUGGUUGUGAUGGUUUGAUCACCAACUUCCCUUGUGAACAAUCUUGGCAAAAGAUGUCGCUUGAUAACAUAAUGUGUUUAGUCAACAAGGGAUGUCCUUUAGAGUUGGUGAUGAUCCUGCGCAUCAUGGUGGAUCCAGGAUGACCCAAUCUGUCAUGUCAAAGCUUAAAAGCAUUUGAGUCAGUAGACUCUUGGUCCAUGACACUAUGUGCCUCAAUUGUCCGUAUGGUUGUGUAAUACAACCCUGAUGAGAGCUCACAAAGCUUUUCCAGUAUACGCUUUUGGGUAUCACUGGAGGUAAUACAAAGAUAUUCCAUGUGUUCCUCUUUCUUUGUUUCAACAUGGUAGCCAUUCAAACGUAUAUCUUUGAAACUCAACAGAUUCCUUCUGGAGUUAGAUGAAUAUAAAGCAUCUGGAAUGGACAAUAUUGUUCCAUUCGGUAACAUAAUAUGGGCUAUUCCUGAACCUUCGAUCAGAUCUGCAGGACCUGAUAUGGUUGUUACCUUUGCUUUUGUAAGUAUUAAUUUUGAGAAAUACUUCCAAUCUAGAAGAAUCGUAUGAGUAGUUGCGCCGCCUGCGAGACAAAUAUCUCUGCCAUAGCCUUUGUUUUGAGGGCAUCCAUAAUUUACAUCCAUGCCACCAAAUAAGUAAAAUGAGCUGGAAUACUAAAGAAGACAACAUUACCACUUUUAUUUAAACAACACUUCAGCUAAUACAAAUAGAUCCACUAACUAUUCAUUACUAUUCAUUUGGAGACUUUGGUAGAGUUUGUCUGUCACGGGUGAAUAGUGACAUUACUAUUCAUUUGGAGACUUUGGUAGAGUUUGUCUGUCACGGGUGAAUAGUGAAUAGUGAUUAUUUCAGCCUAUAAAUAAGACCACCAUCAGAGAAAGAAAAAAUAAGAAAAGAAGAAAAAGAAAAGAGAGAAGAGAAAGCAGAGAGAAAUUCUCCUAGAGAGAAAAUUCAGUGAGCCACAUAUGUUGUAAACACUAAAGUUGUAGCCAUAUCAUUUUAUAGUGAAAGGUUACUGCUGCUGCUCUCCGAAGACGUAGGCAUAGCCGAACCUCGUUAAAAGCUGUGUCUCAUCUAUUUUACGUGCAGCUCAAUAUCCGCAUAUAUUCCAGGUUAUUUUAUAACACGUUAUCAGCACGACCACUCGGCAGGAUGCGUCCACCAAGACCAUAAAGUACCGAAAUGGUCCACAUAAGGAAUUUAAUCUAAUUCGG
Molecule: long non-coding RNA, 4757 nt
Filed under: Prunus persica (peach)
Lineage: Eukaryota; Viridiplantae; Streptophyta; Magnoliopsida; Rosales; Rosaceae
Description: long non-coding RNA (PPER_LNC002607)
Source: RNAcentral